AAGCCCCGGCUAACUACGUGCCAGCAGCCGCGGUAAUACGUAGGGGGCAAGCGUGUCCGGGAAUGACUGGGCGUAAAGGGCGUGUAGGCGGCCGAUUAAGUCUGGAGUGAAAGUCCUGCUUUCAAGGUGGGAAUUGCUUUGGAGACUGGUUGGCUUGAGUGCGGAAGAGGUAAGUGGAAUUCCCAGUGUAGCGGUGAAAUGCGUAGAGAUUGGGAGGAACACCAGUGGCGAAGGCGACUUACUGGGCCGUAACUGACGCUGAGGCGCGAAAGCGUGGGGAGCGAACAGGAUUAGAUACCCUGGUAGUCCACGCUGUAAACGAUGAAUGCUAGGUGUAGGGGGUAUCGACCCCUCCUGUGCCGGAGUAAACGCAAUAAGCAUUCCGCCUGGGGAGUACGGCCGCAAGGUUGAAACUCAAAGGAAUUGACGGGGGCCCGCACAAGCAGCGGAGCAUGUUGUUUAAUUCGAUGCAACGCGAAGAACCUUACCAGGUCUUGACAUCGAUCUAAUCCCCAAGAGAUUGGGGGUCCCUUCGGGGGAGAGAAGACAGGUGGUGCAUGGUUGUCGUCAGUUCGUGUCGUGAGAUGUUGGGUUAAGUCCCGCAACGAGCGCAACCCUUAUGAUCAGUUACUAACGGAUAAAGCCGAGGACUCUGAUAAGACUGCCGGGGACAACUCGGAGGAAGGUGGGGACGACGUCAAAUCAUCAUGCCCCUUAUGACCUGGGCUACAAACGUGCUACAAUGGUGACUACAAAGAGGAGCGAGCCCGUGAGGGUAAGCGGAUCUCAAAAAAGUCAUCUCAGUUCGGAUUGUGGGCUGCAACCCGCCCACAUGAAGUUGGAGUUGCUAGUAAUCGCGGAUCAGAAUGCCGCGGUGAAUACGUUCCCGGGCCUUGUACACACCGCCCG
This 909-nucleotide ribosomal RNA is filed under the name uncultured bacterium. RNAcentral describes it as "bacterial SSU rRNA". It matches the Rfam family "Bacterial small subunit ribosomal RNA", at positions 488 to 1396 of the family's 1533-position model. The record is from RNAcentral.